Molecule: ribosomal RNA, 36 nt
Filed under: Ramaria comitis
Lineage: Eukaryota; Fungi; Basidiomycota; Agaricomycetes; Gomphales; Gomphaceae
Also listed under: 1 other name
Description: partial 28S ribosomal RNA
Source: RNAcentral
UCAAAUCAGGUAGGACUACCCGCUGAACUUAAGCAU